Molecule: ribosomal RNA, 398 nt
Filed under: uncultured bacterium
Lineage: Bacteria
Description: bacterial SSU rRNA
Rfam family: Bacterial small subunit ribosomal RNA
Source: RNAcentral
UGAGGAAUAUCGCACAAUGGGCGCAAGCCUGAUGCAGCAACGCCGCGUGCGGGACGACGGCCUUCGGGUUGUAAACCGCUUUUCUGAGGGACGAGCGAGGACGGUACCUUAGGAAUAAGUCUCGGCUAACUACGUGCCAGCAGCCGCGGUAAAACGUAGGAGGCGAGCGUUGUCCGGAUUUACUGGGCGUAAAGCGCGCGCAGGUGGCCGUGUAAGUUGGACGUGAAAGCUCCUGGCUUAACUUGGAGAGGUCGUUCGAUACUGCGGGGCUAUAGGUUGGAAGAGGGGUGUGGAAUUCACGGAGUAGUGGUGGAAUGCGUAGAUAUCGGGAGGAACACCUGAGGCGAAGGCGGCACCCUGGCCCACACCUGACACUGAGGUGCGAAAGCGUGGGGAGU